Vespa mandarinia (Asian giant hornet) is the source of this 690-nucleotide long non-coding RNA. NCBI's taxonomy places the organism in Eukaryota, Metazoa, Arthropoda, Insecta, Hymenoptera, Vespidae. The record is from RefSeq and is a predicted model, not a curated record.
CCACGAGUCGACUUAACCUUAAAUGUGUCACACUCCUUCGACUUCCCCUUCUCCUUUAUAAUUUUCUUUCUUUUUUUAUCUUUCUAUUCUCUCUCUCUUUCUCUCUCUCUCUCUCUCUCUUUCUCUCCCUCUCUCUCCCUCUCUCUCUCUCCCUCUCGUUAUCCACUUCUCGUCUUUUUUCUUCUUAGUGACGCUCCCUCAGUUAACCAAUUGCUGACUCGUUUUAAAUGGUUGUGUACAUGUAUGUACAUCCUGUGUAUGCAUACUUUAUUCUCGUGCGAACAAAACAUUUCUAUUAUCGUCCCCUCGUUCGGCAAUCACGUAAAAGAAAAAAUAUCUUAUAUAUUGCAAAGGAUCAAGGAUCUCGUUGAGCUGCCAGUCAUCCUCGACUACGAGAUCGUCUACGUCCUUGGAUCGACUAAAGGAAAACGAGCGAAGUAAGGAUCUCCUUAGGCGGUGAACGAAGAUGGUGGGACUCCUUGACAAUGGUGGGUCAUGGGAGAGUGGCGAGCUAUACUCCCACGCGUCCGUUUACCACUAUCCAGAUCAGCUAUACAACCGAUUUCGACCUUGCCUACUGACCUUAUUUAAAUAUUUCUACAGUAUCGCAUAUAUUUCAAAUUACAUUACGUGCGAUUCUCAAUAAUUCUCGAAACCUACAUAUUGUUUAUUAAAUUCAUUAAAAGAAAA